GAAAAAUGAAGAUAUUCUGACUCUUUUGUAUUACUACAGUGAAGACUUCAGAUCCAACUCUGAUUUCACUCGAAUU
Molecule: small nucleolar RNA, 76 nt
Filed under: Nestor notabilis (Kea)
Lineage: Eukaryota; Metazoa; Chordata; Aves; Psittaciformes; Psittacidae
Description: Small nucleolar RNA SNORD19
Rfam family: Small nucleolar RNA SNORD19
About the family: Homo sapiens C/D box snoRNA HBII-108: This snoRNA is the human orthologue of the mouse MBII-108 and is predicted to guide 2'O-ribose methylation of the small 18S rRNA on position G683. snoRNA HBII-108 is encoded in a nucleostemin (NS) gene intron like the HBII-210
Source: Rfam by way of RNAcentral